RNAcentral lists this ribosomal RNA (718 nucleotides) under Rahnella sp. J51. RNAcentral's name for it is "bacterial SSU rRNA". It matches the Rfam family "Bacterial small subunit ribosomal RNA", at positions 69 to 780 of the family's 1533-position model. Lineage: Bacteria; Pseudomonadati; Pseudomonadota; Gammaproteobacteria; Enterobacterales; Yersiniaceae. The record is from RNAcentral.
GCGGAAGUAGCUUGCUACUUUGCCGGCGAGCGGCGGACGGGUGAGUAAUGUCUGGGAAACUGCCUGAUGGAGGGGGAUAACUACUGGAAACGGUAGCUAAUACCGCAUGACCUCGAAAGAGCAAAGUGGGGGAUCUUCGGACCUCACGCCAUCGGAUGUGCCCAGAUGGGAUUAGCUAGUAGGUGAGGUAAUGGCUCACCUAGGCGACGAUCCCUAGCUGGUCUGAGAGGAUGACCAGCCACACUGGAACUGAGACACGGUCCAGACUCCUACGGGAGGCAGCAGUGGGGAAUAUUGCACAAUGGGCGCAAGCCUGAUGCAGCCAUGCCGCGUGUGUGAAGAAGGCCUUAGGGUUGUAAAGCACUUUCAGCGAGGAGGAAGGCAUCACACUUAAUACGUGUGGUGAUUGACGUUACUCGCAGAAGAAGCACCGGCUAACUCCGUGCCAGCAGCCGCGGUAAUACGGAGGGUGCAAGCGUUAAUCGGAAUUACUGGGCGUAAAGCGCACGCAGGCGGUUUGUUAAGUCAGAUGUGAAAUCCCCGCGCUUAACGUGGGAACUGCAUUUGAAACUGGCAAGCUAGAGUCUUGUAGAGGGGGGUAGAAUUCCAGGUGUAGCGGUGAAAUGCGUAGAGAUCUGGAGGAAUACCGGUGGCGAAGGCGGCCCCCUGGACAAAGACUGACGCUCAGGUGCGAAAGCGUGGGGAGCAAACAGGAUUA